GAAAACUCAUUAAUUUUUAAUGUUAUGACGCUAAAAAUGUCAUAUUUGGGAAUGUGGUGAAAAACCACAACUGUGCCCGCAACUGUAAGUCAGUGUCUAAUACAUGCUUAAUUUUGAGCUGUUUUUGAUAUUAACAAGUCAGGAUACCCAUUAAUAAAUUAAUCAACUA
This 169-nucleotide non-coding RNA is filed under the name Colwellia sp. The record is from RNAcentral. Lineage: Bacteria; Pseudomonadati; Pseudomonadota; Gammaproteobacteria; Alteromonadales; Colwelliaceae.